Helianthus annuus (common sunflower) is the source of this 112-nucleotide non-coding RNA. Lineage: Eukaryota; Viridiplantae; Streptophyta; Magnoliopsida; Asterales; Asteraceae. The record is from Rfam.
UAAUGCGUUUUGGGCGCAUUGACUCUGGAUCUUAUCAAAAAUCCAUAGUUAAGUGUGCUCAGGUGAGAGUAGUACCAAGAUGGGCGACCUUCUGCGAAGUCUCAUCCCUGGC